AACGCUUUCACGACAGAUUUCAAAGGAAUAUAUUGCAACCACAGUAAGCCCUGAAAUGUGAGUGCUGAGGAAAAUCCAUUGGAGUUUUGAAAGAGCAGUUUUCAGUUCUGUAAAAAGCAGCACAUUUAUCAGCUUAUAAAGCAAGCCAGUUCUUCAGUGAGUUUAGCCUACUAGUUACUUCUUCUCACUUUGGCAGUUACUCACUAGGAACCUGAUUGCUCUGGUUUUGGUAGCAGGUUUGGGUUGAAUUGGUUGAUUGAAUUAGUUGGUUAAGUUGAUCCGGGUAUGAGAGAGGACGAUUUUCAGCUGCUGAAAAGAUACAACCAUGGCCCCAAAUUGGAUAAACUUCUUCCCUUUCCUGAGGAGAUUGGUUUUUGGGUCAACUGUGGCUGAGAAGUGGGAGAUGAUCAUUCCUGAUGAGCCCUGGGAACCCUAGCAACAUCUGGACCUCUUGAAUGGUCUAGGCCUUUCCACUCCAGGGCUUCCGAUACAAUGGGCAAGGUGAGAAUGUCUACAUUCCCGGGAUGGCCCACAGCCAGGAUUUUAUAGCUGAUCUCAAUCUGCUCUAUUGUGGAGUUCCUGUAAAUCCUCAUCCAGGAAACAGACACAAAUAUUUUCUAGGUCGAUGAUAACCCUCCUAUCUGGGAAAUCAAGCAAAGUCAUCUUCAUCAGCUACAGGGCUCCAUUUCACAAAGUAUGACUGAGUGAAUUUCCCAGGAAGCAGACAUUGAGCUGGAGGUUAGCAUGCAGGAGUGAUUUAGAGACUGCUUUUGUGAUUAACACCUGGAAAUGAAAGAUAGCACAUAACUGGAUCAUUAAAAAAAGAAAAACCUGUUCUGCCAGUCUCUGCCUUUGGAUUGGAGUGUUGAAUCCAUUUACAUUUAAUGUAAUUACUGAUAAGGAUUCUACAGUGAAUGACGAGCAGUUUGUUCCUGUGUAGAGCUGCCAUAUUAGCAGGAAGCUGGGAAGUCUGACGGGUUUUCCCUUCUCUCUCAGGGGCAUGGAGUGUGAAGAAACAGGAGGAUCAAAAAGGAGCCACUAAAAAGCCAUAUCGCAGCCUUGCUGGAGGAGCCUUCUCUUUUCACUGAGAACAUAAGAAUUUGCAGCAUUUUUGGAGGAGGCCAAGCCUUACUUGCAGGAAGAUAGCACCAAUUAUAUGGACACAUUUUUAAGGAAUUAACCCUAAAGGAAACACCAACAUUCUUAGUGACAUAAGUGACUUGGUAGAUUACAGAAUAGUGAUGAGAAAUAUGAAUUCAUAGCAUAAUUCAUUUCAAUAACUCGGCAAAGUGAGAGAAGAGGAAACAGAAAGAGACAGAGAAAGAGAAAGAAGAAGGGAGGGAGGGCAUUUGUGUAUGUGUGUGUGCGUGCACGCUCCAUCUGUGCCUGAAAUUUGUUCCAUAUUUGCUUGGAGUCCCAAUUGUUUAGGGGGAUCCAUAGUAGAUGAGCCUGUUCCAGGACUCAUGGAAAAUAGUUCCCUUCUGCAUUGUUUGGAGCUGGACUCUGCCAGUGGUGGAAGAAAACUUUUAAACACAAUUACACUAUCAAGAUGUACAGUGAGUGAGUCAAAGGCCUGGACCAGCCUGGCCUGAGAUGAUAGAAUCAGAGGUAGGUCAUAAAUCUCCAGCUGCCUUAGAGUGUACGCCACA
Long non-coding RNA from Equus asinus (donkey), 1649 nucleotides. NCBI's taxonomy places the organism in Eukaryota, Metazoa, Chordata, Mammalia, Perissodactyla, Equidae. The record is from Ensembl.